CGCGUGCACUGGUUCGGCCGGGCCUUUCCCUCUGGGGAACCGCAUGCCCUUCACUGGGUGUGUCGGGGAACCAGGACUUUUACUUUGAACAAAUUAGAUCGCUUAAAGAAGGCCUAUGCUCGAAUACAUUAGCAUGGAAUAAUAGAAUAGGACGUGUGGUUCUAUUUUGUUGGUUUCUAGGACCGCCGUAAUGAUUAAUAGGGACAGUCGGGGGCAUCAGUAUUCAAUUGUCAGAGGUGAAAUUCUUGGAUUUAUUGAAGACUAACUACUGCGAAAGCAUUUGCCAAGGAUGUUUUCAUUAAUCAGGAACGAAAGUUAGGGGAUCGAAGACGAUCAGAUACCGUCGUAGUCUUAACCAUAAACUAUGCCGACUAGGGAUCGGACGAUGUUAUAUUUUGACUCGUUCGGCACCUUACACGAAAGUAAAGUUUCUGGGUUCUGGGGGGAGUAUGGUCGCAAGGCUGAAACUUAAAGAAAUUGACGGAAGGGCACCACCAGGGGUGGAGCCCGCGGCUUAAUUUGACUCAACACGGGGAAACUCACCAGGUCCAGACACAAGUAGGAUUGACAGAUUGAGAGCUCUUUCUUGAUUUUGUGGGUGGUGGUGCAUGGGCCGUUCUUAGUUGGUGGAGUGAUUUGUCUGCUUAAUUGCGAUAACGAACGAGACCUUAACCUGCUAAAUAGCCCGUAUUGCUUUGGCAGUACGCUGGCUUCUUAGAGGGACUAUCGG
RNAcentral lists this ribosomal RNA (730 nucleotides) under uncultured eukaryote. RNAcentral's name for it is "SSU rRNA". It matches the Rfam family "Eukaryotic small subunit ribosomal RNA", at positions 670 to 1426 of the family's 1831-position model. The record is from RNAcentral.